UUUUAAUUCAUUGUUUGGAACCAGCAAGUACCCAACAGUUUAGUCUAAACCUAAGUUUUAACCAAGAAAGUAUUCAUUGUAUGUGCUACCAAGGAAAUACGGUGGUUUGUCAGAUAGCACACUAACUAGCGUCAGCAUUACUAAUGGUGACAGACGGUUGCAAAGCUCUAGCAAAGGACUCCCCAGUGAGUCAGAGGCCUAUCAUCCAACUGCCUGCUUACCAGCUUUCCUUCCUGUGAGUCACUUUAAGGAACGCAACUUCUUCUUUCUGUUUUCACCUUUCCUCUGCUCCAAUCAGUGGCUGUUAAAGCCACAUUAUAAUUCUGAGAAGUAUUAAUAGAUAUGACUGGGUCUCUCCAGGACAGCUCUUAGAAUGGAAGUAGGAGAAUGGACAUAAAAGAAGAUGCUCAUUUACCAAAUUGGAGAUGUCCCCUGCUAUUCUUUCUCUGAGAGCUGUUGACCAUGAGUGAGUUUGGAUAUUUUGGACCAGCAAGAUGGACCAGUGAGUAAAGGUACUUGCUGCCAAGCCUGAGGACCUGAGUUUGAUUCCCCAGGAACCAUACAGUGGAAGGAGAGAAUUGAUUCCCACAAACUGUCCUCUGACCUCCACAUGGACACUGUGAUACAUGAUGUCCACACACAAUAAAAUAUGAAAAAGGUCUAGCAUCUUCCUAUUUGAGUGUGAUUUUAUACCACCCAGCAGUGGCUGACAUCAUGGC
Molecule: long non-coding RNA, 719 nt
Filed under: Cricetulus griseus (Chinese hamster)
Lineage: Eukaryota; Metazoa; Chordata; Mammalia; Rodentia; Cricetidae
Description: lncRNA (ENSCGRG00015033789.1)
Source: RNAcentral